RNAcentral lists this long non-coding RNA (882 nucleotides) under Nicotiana benthamiana. RNAcentral describes it as "long non-coding RNA (NBEN_LNC014162)". The record is from RNAcentral. Lineage: Eukaryota; Viridiplantae; Streptophyta; Magnoliopsida; Solanales; Solanaceae.
CCUAACCUCUUGCACAAAUUCAAACAAAGAAGAGCAGACUCUUAUAGAGUCAAACUUAGGUCUGAAUGAUGAUCAGGACAUCAACAGUCCCAAAUUAGAGCUCAGCACAUGGAGGGGAAAGGGAAUGGGAAAACAAUUGAGUAAAGACUCAGAAAAGUCUGGUUCUGGAUCACAAACAGCAAUCCAUAGUGUUGUUAUGACCCAGGACAAUACUCACAUACAAAGGGAAUAAAGGGAAAGGCAUUAACAUAACAUAAGAGACAUAGCAUGCCUGAAUGUAAUUAAAUAGUACAGGAAAGCAUAAAUAAACACACAAAGAAAUGGGUAGAAGUAGAGAAGUUGAACAAGGAUGCUAUUUAACAUAGAAGAACAUACCAGUUAUAGAUUCUAAUAAAGCAGAAUAGUAACAACAAACAAACACCCAGGAAUAAACAGGAACAGACUCAAGAAACUCCCCAAGUGCUUAGGAGUUCAAACAGCAGGAAGUACUGAUGUAGAAUGCUUAGUAGUAGUGUAGAGAAACAGAGAGUAGUAAUAAUAGUAGCAAAGAAGACAUAGAGGUGAAUACUAAUUUUUGGUUUGCAGUCAAAAUUUGAUGAUGAAGUGAAAGGAAGAGCAUGUAUUUAUACUUGAAAUCAGACAUGCAAGCAAGGAAAGAAAAUUAGUCGAGUAUCAAUUAAGAUCAAACAACUACCAAAGGUCCUUUAAUUAAGGAAUCCCAAUUUGAUUAGUAAAGGACGAAAAAUAUUUAAGGAAAGGGGAUAAAACAGACAACAUGCACAUAGUAUACAAGUAAGGGUGAAUACAUGAAAGUUAUUUUAGGAAAAUUUUUUUUGAAAUACACGAUUUGUGUAAACAAGGUAAGAAGACCAAUUCACAAAC